RNAcentral lists this ribosomal RNA (497 nucleotides) under uncultured bacterium. RNAcentral's name for it is "partial 16S ribosomal RNA". It matches the Rfam family "Bacterial small subunit ribosomal RNA", at positions 28 to 507 of the family's 1533-position model. The record is from RNAcentral.
GACGAACGCUGGCGGCGUGCCUAAUACAUGCAAGUAGAACGCUGAAGUGAGGAGCUUCCUCUUCUUGGAUGAGUUGCGAACGGGUGAGUAACGCGUAGGUAACCUGCCUUGUAGCGGGGGAUAACUAUUGGAAACGAUAGCUAAUACCGCAUAACAAUGGAUGACACAUGUCAUUUAUUUGAAAGGGGCAAUUGCUCCACUACAAGAUGGACCUGCGUUGUAUUAGCUAGUAGGUGAGGUAAUGGCUCACCUAGGCGACGAUACAUAGCCGACCUGAAAGGGUGGUCAGCCUGACUGGGACGGAGACACCGCCCCGAAUACUGCGGGAGGCAGAAGUAAGGAAUCUACAGAGAUUGGGGCAACCCUGACCGAGCAACACCGCGGGAGUGAAGAAAGGUUUCGGGUCGUAAAACUCUGUUGUAAGUCAAGAACGGGUGUGAGAGUGGAAAGUUCACACUGUGACGGUAGCUUACCAGAAAGGGACGGCUAACUACGUG